Molecule: ribosomal RNA, 253 nt
Filed under: uncultured bacterium
Lineage: Bacteria
Description: partial 16S ribosomal RNA
Rfam family: Bacterial small subunit ribosomal RNA
Source: RNAcentral
UACGGAGGGGGCUAGCGUUGUUCGGAAUUACUGGGCGUAAAGCGCGCGUAGGCGGAUCUGUAAGUUGGGGGUGAAAUCCCGAGGCUCAACCUCGGAACUGCCUUCGAUACUGCAGAUCUCGAGUCCGAGAGAGGUGAGUGGAAUUCCUAGUGUAGAGGUGAAAUUCGUAGAUAUUAGGAAGAACACCAGUGGCGAAGGCGGCUCACUGGCUCGGUACUGACGAUGAGGCGCGAAAGCGUGGGGAGCAAACAGG